CCGUCGUCUGGCCUCGGGGACU
Molecule: microRNA, 22 nt
Filed under: Rosa chinensis
Lineage: Eukaryota; Viridiplantae; Streptophyta; Magnoliopsida; Rosales; Rosaceae
Description: sRNA RchiOBHm_Chr1g0382555
Source: RNAcentral